UACGAAGGGGGCUAGCGUUGCUCGGAAUCACUGGGCGUAAAGCGCACGUAGGCGGAUCUUUAAGUCAGGGGGUGAAAUCCUGGAGCUCAACUCCAGAACUGCCUCUGAUACUGGGGAUCUUGAGUCCGGAAGAGGUAAGUGGAACUGCGAGUGUAGAGGUGAAAUUCGUAGAUAUUCGCAAGAACACCAGUGGCGAAGGCGGCUUACUGGUCCGGUACUGACGCUGAGGUGCGAAAGCGUGGGGAGCAAACAGG
This 254-nucleotide ribosomal RNA is filed under the name uncultured bacterium. RNAcentral's name for it is "partial 16S ribosomal RNA". It matches the Rfam family "Bacterial small subunit ribosomal RNA", at positions 524 to 776 of the family's 1533-position model. The record is from RNAcentral.